RNA transcript from Ostrea edulis (European flat oyster), 1976 nucleotides. RefSeq lists it as uncharacterized. The record is from RefSeq and is a predicted model, not a curated record. The transcript is spliced from 3 exons. Lineage: Eukaryota; Metazoa; Mollusca; Bivalvia; Ostreida; Ostreidae.
ACUGUCAUAAAUUGACCAAUUGCCAAAAUAUUCUUUUCUACAACCGCACAUGUGUAAGAAAAACUAAACAAAUAGAUGUUUACUUGUCAUUGACACCUGUAACCUUUGUUCUAGACUACGUGUUAUUUUUAGCAGAAAGAUUACGUAAUGGUUGCAUCAUUGUCUUUCAAGAUUGUACUAGAAAAUUCAUUCCUAUUAUAAAUGUACUGAAAUUCUUAUGAUAAAAAAGCUCUGGUUAGACAUUUUUAUGCACUCUGGAUUAUUAUACUGGGAAUUAUGAUUUUGGACUUACUAUAUUUGUGUGUGUAGAUUCUGUUUGGAUUUAUUAUUCAACUACCGUUUUGCCCCUGUUUCUUUUUCUACCUCGGUGGAACGCUUCCAUCCAUUUGGCUUCUGGAGUUGGAUAGACGGGAGCGCUACGUUGCCGUCAAACAAGGAGUGAAUAACGCCACAGCCUCUGACUCACUGUCUGAGAUUUAUCCUGGGGUCUCUAUUCCUAUUUAUUUACCUGCAGACACCUGGGUUUUGUUGAUUGAACAAUUUCUACUUUACUUCAUGAUUGUUGGAAGAUGGCUUUUACCGCGAGGAACUAUUUCACGAAAUGAGCUUUCCCAGUUGUUGUUCGUCUUCAUCGGAAUAGCCUCAGACAUCACGGAGUUUUUCACCUUAUUUGAUGAGGAUGUUGUUCGAAAAAAUCUUGAAUUGACGUACGCUAUAUUGGUUAUCUGGUCUGUCAGCUUGAUGCAGUUCUGUUUCGUUUUGACUGCGACGAAGAGCUCGAAUAAGCCCAGGGUGGCACUACACAGUACGGAUGAAGAAUCGGUAGAAAACUCUCAAACACGAAUAAAAAGAGGAAAAUGUGAAAAGUGUGUUUCAAGUGAGGUGUGGAGUACAAUGGUAACGAUGUGUAUGCAAGACGGUCCAUUCUUGACCAUUAGAUUGUUCGUCAUUAUCACGUACCAUCUUGUCAACUACGCAAUUAUUUUCUUCACUGCUAAAAACGCUUUGGUGAUGCUGUUGUUAGUUUACCGUUUGAUUGUCAUCUGUGGUCAGAAAAAUCCCGAUAACGACCGAUCAAGUGCAGAAUUUGAUAUUUAUGUCACAGAUCCGAUCGCUAAUUCGAAUCAUUCCAUGGCUUCAUCAUCGCAUUCUAAAACCGGAAAACCAGAUUACGUUGAAAAAGAAAACGCACCGAGAUGCAAUAACGAUAGGAAGCAUCGCAAUAAUAAUGGACAAAAAUACAAAACCGGAAAAACCAUCGGUACAAGUCAAAUGUAGCAAUGAAGAGAUUGUGUAUCAAAUUGGUGUCAUUGUUUCUGAUACUUUAUUCUCAAACUCCCCGCCGAGGCCUCAUUACGUCACCUACGUAUAGACCUCUGCUAUGUGACGCAAUACAAUAUACAGAUUUGUAUAUUGCGAGUCCGCGAUUAUCACGCGGGCAAAUAACACUAAAGAAGUAGUUCCUAUUUAAAAGUUUGAAGAUAUUGACAUUAAGAGCAUUGAUAUAAAAGUAUGGAUUUUAUUUUAAACAUAAAAUUAUCUAAAGAUCAUUAAAAAGUAGUGAAACUCUGUUCAAAUUAUUGUGUAAAGUAAUGAACUUGAUGUUUACGUUCUUGUUUUGAAAGUUGUUUACGUUUGACGGUAUGUUUUUUCGUCAUUCUACAGUGACGUUACACAGUAUACUUGACCUAAGAAAUCGCUAUCCCAUAAUGCCUAACUGGAAGAGUUUGGUUUGUGACCAAACGAACUCUGGCGGAAUGUUGACUUUAUUCUAUCAUUGGAAAUAGCAUUACUAAAUCCCUCAUAUGACUCUAUGUGUAUGUUUUCAUCUGUUGAAAAGUACUGUUACCGUAUUGUCUGACCAGAAAAUUUAAGAGGUUAUUUUGUCAUAAUAGUUAAGUAAUGUAUUAAUUUUAUUAUAUUAUUGAUAUGAAAAUAGCAACUCUUACGUGUAUAAAUAAAGUGUGUGGCAUUUA